CGCGUAGGCGGUCUUCUAAGUCCGAUGUUAAAGCCCGGGGCUCAACCCCGGCACGGCGUUGGAUACUGGUAGGCUUGACGGCUGGAGAGGCGAGUGGAAUUACCAGUGUAGCGGUGGAAUGCGUAGAUACUGGUAGGAACACCUAUGGCGAAGGCAGCUCGCUGGACAGCACGUGACGCUGAGGCGCGAAAGUGUGGGGAGCAAACCG
This 208-nucleotide ribosomal RNA is filed under the name uncultured bacterium. RNAcentral's name for it is "partial 16S ribosomal RNA". It matches the Rfam family "Bacterial small subunit ribosomal RNA", at positions 568 to 775 of the family's 1533-position model. The record is from RNAcentral.